This 435-nucleotide ribosomal RNA is filed under the name uncultured bacterium. RNAcentral's name for it is "partial 16S ribosomal RNA". It matches the Rfam family "Bacterial small subunit ribosomal RNA", at positions 36 to 507 of the family's 1533-position model. The record is from RNAcentral.
UCUUCCCUCUGGCUUUAUGCUUAACACAUGCAAGUCGAACGGACUCUUCGGAGUUAGUGGCGGACGGGUGAGUAACGCGUGAGAAUCUGGCUUUGGGUUCGGGACAACCACUGGAAACGGUGGCUAAUACCGGAUGUGCCGAGAGGUAAAAGAGAAAUUGCCUGAAGAUGAGCUCGCGUCUGAUUAGCUAGUUGGUGAGGUAAAGGCUCACCAAGGCAGCGAUCAGUAGCUGGUCUGAGAGGAUGACCAGCCACACUGGGACUGAGACACGGCCCAGACUCCUACGGGAGGCAGCAGUGGGGAAUUUUCCGCAAUGGGCGAAAGCCUGACGGAGCAAUACCGCGUGAGGGAAGAAGGCUCUUGGGUUGUAAACCUCUUUUCUUAGGGAAGAACAAAAUGACGGUACCUAAGGAAUCAGCAUCGGCUAACUCCGUG